GGCUAACUUCGUGCCAGCAGCCGCGGUAAUACGAAGGGGGCUAGCGUUACUCGGAAUUAUUGGGCGUAAAGCGUGCGUAGGCUGCUUAGUAAGUCAAAAGUGAAAGCCUUGGGCUCAACCUAAGAAUUGCUUUUGAAACUACCAAGCUUGAGUACUGUAGGGGAUAGCGGAAUUCCUAGUGUAGGGGUGAAAUUCGUAGAUAUUAGGAGGAACACCGGAGGCGAAAGCGGUUAUCUGGACAGUUACUGACGCUGUUGCACGAAAGCGUGGGGAGCAAACAGGAUUAGAUACCCUGGUAGUCCACGCUGUAAACGAUGAGUGCUA
Molecule: ribosomal RNA, 324 nt
Filed under: uncultured Rickettsia sp.
Lineage: Bacteria; Pseudomonadati; Pseudomonadota; Alphaproteobacteria; Rickettsiales; Rickettsiaceae
Description: bacterial SSU rRNA
Rfam family: Bacterial small subunit ribosomal RNA
Source: RNAcentral